This 75-nucleotide microRNA precursor is filed under the name Haemonchus placei. RNAcentral's name for it is "mir-5928 microRNA precursor family". It matches the Rfam family "mir-5928 microRNA precursor family". Lineage: Eukaryota; Metazoa; Nematoda; Chromadorea; Rhabditida; Trichostrongylidae. The record is from Rfam by way of RNAcentral.
GGCCCAGAUUUGAAGAAAGAUGGAUGAGUAGGAUACGUUGAUCAUACUGAUCUACUCUACUUCAAGUCUGUGCCC